RNAcentral lists this ribosomal RNA (471 nucleotides) under uncultured organism. RNAcentral's name for it is "partial 16S ribosomal RNA". It matches the Rfam family "Bacterial small subunit ribosomal RNA", at positions 335 to 797 of the family's 1533-position model. The record is from RNAcentral.
ACUCCUACGGGAGGCAGCAGUGGGGAAUUUUGGACAAUGGGCGAAAGCCUGAUCCAGCAAUGCCGCGUGUGUGAAGAAGGCCUUCGGGUUGUAAAGCACUUUUGUCCGGAAAGAAAUCCUUGGCUCUAAUACAGUCGGGGGAUGACGGUACCGGAAGAAUAAGCACCGGCUAACUACGUGCCAGCAGCCGCGGUAAUACGUAGGGUGCGAGCGUUAAUCGGAAUUACUGGGCGUAAAGCGUGCGCAGGCGGUUUGCUAAGACCGAUGUGAAAUCCCCGGGCUCAACCUGGGAACUGCAUUGGUGACUGGCAGGCUAGAGUAUGGCAGAGGGGGGUAGAAUUCCACGUGUAGCAGUGAAAUGCGUAGAGAUGUGGAGGAAUACCGAUGGCGAAGGCAGCCCCCUGGGCCAAUACUGAUGCUCAUGCACGAAAGCGUGGGGAGCAAACAGGAUUAGAUACCCGUGUAGUCCCA